AUACGGAGGGUGCAAGCGUUGUUCGGAAUCACUGGGCGUAAAGGGCGCGCAGGCGGUUUGGUAAGUCAGAUGUGAAAGCCCACGGCUCAACCGUGGAAGUGCAUUUGAAACUGCCAGACUUGAGUACCAGAGGGGAAAGUGGAAUUCCCGGUGUAGAGGUGAAAUUCGUAGAUAUCGGGAGGAAUACCGGUGGCGAAGGCGACUUUCUGGCUGGAUACUGACGCUGAGGCGCGAAAGCGUGGGUAGCGAACGGGAUUAGAAACCCCAGUAGUCC
This 274-nucleotide ribosomal RNA is filed under the name uncultured bacterium. Its description in RNAcentral is "partial 16S ribosomal RNA". It matches the Rfam family "Bacterial small subunit ribosomal RNA", at positions 523 to 796 of the family's 1533-position model. The record is from RNAcentral.